RNAcentral lists this unclassified non-coding RNA (1717 nucleotides) under Pomacea canaliculata. Its description in RNAcentral is "adenylate kinase 8-like, transcript variant X1". Lineage: Eukaryota; Metazoa; Mollusca; Gastropoda; Architaenioglossa; Ampullariidae. The record is from RNAcentral.
CUCUACCUUUGCUUCGUAGCAACCGAUGAAAACAUCCAAGGGCGCCUGGGUUCAUCUUUGAAGGUAGGAGCCAGCACAGUACCCAGAGGAAUGGACCAAACAAAGCGACCACUACAAAUUCCUCCUGAAUUUUCGACAUAUGCAGAAAAGCAUGGGAUUUUUGACUUAUACAAGAGACUGAUGGAGCAACUGAUCAUUAACCGCCCCUCAGACCCUAUUGCAUUUCUGAUAGAAAUGCUAAAGCUUGACAACAAUGAUGUCCCACAGAUAAUGAUACUGGGGCCACCAAUGGCAGGUAAACACAGCAUCAGCAAGAUGGUUUGUGGAAGGCUACGUACAGCACACAUUACACCUGAUAAUCUGGUACAAGAGGCUGAUUUGAAACUUCGUGACAAAGCUGAAGAAUACAUUAAAGCCAAGAAACCCAUUCCAACUGAAGUGUGGGUGUCAAUCCUUCAAGAGCGCAUGAAGCUAUUUGACUGCGUCAAAAAAGGAUGGGUUUUAGAAGGAUUUCCACAAACACGACAAGAAGCACUUGCACUGCAGGAGCUUGGAAUCUACCCAAAGCACUGUGUGGUGCUGGAUGCCCCAGACACAGUACUGAUAGAACGUGCAGCAGGCAAAAGGAUCGACCCCAAAACUGGAGAUGUUUACCAUACAACAUUCGACUGGCCAAAUGCUACGGACAUCCAAGCAAGACUGGAAGAGGGUCCUGGCCAGAGUGAGCCAGAGAUGGUGGACAAGCUUGUGAAGUACCACCGGAAUGCUGACGGAAUUCUUCGCUGUUACAAUUCUGUCAUCAAAGUCAUAAAUGCUGAUCAACCCAAGGCAGAUGUUUUCUCACACGUGAUGGUAUUCCUUCAGAGUCAGCCACGUUCUAACACACCUCGCACCCCCCGCAUCAUCCUUUUGGGCCCCACAGGGGCAGGCAAAGGUGUCCAAGCUUCCCUGUUGGCCAAUAAGUACAACUUUGUGAAAGUAUCCUGUGGCCAGCUCAUUAAACAGGCCAUCACCAGAGAGACAAAGGCUGGAAUGGCAGCCAAACCAUAUGUGGAAAAGGGCAUGAUAAUGCCUGAUAACAUUGUAUUGAACAUACUGAAAGAACGUAUGUGUCAGUUGGACUGCCAGACACGUGGUUGGGUUCUGAAAGGCUAUCCUUAUACACGUGAGCAGGCUGAACAACUUGAUAAGGCUGGACUAGCCCCAAACAGAGUUUUUUUCCUGGACAUUCCUAAUGAUUCCGUCAUCGAGCGUUUAACCCAAAGAGCCGUCGAUCCUGUCACAGGGGACCAGUAUCAUAUGUUGUACAACCCUCCACGUACCCAAGAAAUUAAGGACAGGCUGGUUAAGCAUCCUAAGGAUUCUGAAGAAGAGGUACGCAAGCGACUCAUGCAGUACCAUGCUUAUGUUGAGGAGCUUGUGGAUUAUUAUGUUGAUGCUCAACAUAUGAUUGCUGACCAAGACCCACAUACUGUAUUUGAAUACCUGGAAAGCAUGACUGUCAAACCUCUGCCUCGGCACUACUGAGAAAUGAUGAAAUACCUUUCUGUCACACUUAGAAAAAUGUGGAAAGCAGACUGAAGGCAGACCUCUAUAUGGUCAUCGUUUUAUGUUAUAAAUACACUUAAAAUAACUUAAUCAUACAGGGAGAUGUAGAAACAUGCUAAAUUUUGUAUCACUUUGCAGAUGAUAAAACUUCAAAAUAAAGAUUUUGCAC